UGGGGAAUAUUGGACAAUGGGGGCAACCCUGAUCCAGCAAUGCCGCGUGUGUGAAGAAGGUCUUCGGAUUGUAAAGCACUUUCGACGGGGACGAUGAUGACGGUACCCGUAGAAGAAGCCCCGGCUAACUUCGUGCCAGCAGCCGCGGUAAUACGAAGGGGGCUAGCGUUGCUCGGAAUGACUGGGCGUAAAGGGCGUGCAGGCGGUUUACACAGUCAGAUGUGAAAUCCCCGGGCUUAACCUGGGAGCUGCAUUUGAUACGUGUAGACUAGAGUGUGAGAGAGGGUUUGUGGAAUUCCCAGUGUAGAGGUGAAAUUCGUAGAUAU
RNAcentral lists this ribosomal RNA (326 nucleotides) under uncultured bacterium. RNAcentral's name for it is "partial 16S ribosomal RNA". It matches the Rfam family "Bacterial small subunit ribosomal RNA", at positions 355 to 697 of the family's 1533-position model. The record is from RNAcentral.